GAUUAUAAUUUGUUUACCAAAUUAAUUGAUACUGAAAUUCAAGAUGAAAGCUGUUUUUCAAAUCGUGGCUGUGUGCCUAUUUAUCCAACUGGUCUUAGCUACGAAACAGGAACCUGUUUGCGACGUAGUGUGCCCUAAAAAUCCCAUGUAUACCGUGCAAGUACCAUACACUGGCGAUUGUACUAGAUAUUGUCUUUGCACAAUUAAUGGCAACUAUAAGAAGGAUUGUCCUGAAGGUCUACACUUUAAUCCUGUGUUAGAAGUUUGUGAUUGGCCAUUAAGUGCAGGUUGCAUUGACAGUCUUUAUUAAAUUUGUGUUUAUUGUAUAUGAGUGCAUAAAAUAAAUACUUAAAACCACA
Dalotia coriaria is the source of this 359-nucleotide long non-coding RNA. RefSeq lists it as uncharacterized. The record is from RefSeq and is a predicted model, not a curated record. The transcript is spliced from 2 exons. NCBI's taxonomy places the organism in Eukaryota, Metazoa, Arthropoda, Insecta, Coleoptera, Staphylinidae.